This 710-nucleotide ribosomal RNA is filed under the name uncultured bacterium. RNAcentral's name for it is "bacterial SSU rRNA". It matches the Rfam family "Bacterial small subunit ribosomal RNA", at positions 1 to 757 of the family's 1533-position model. The record is from RNAcentral.
GCUUAGAGUUUGAUCCUGGCUCAGGAUGAACGCUGGCGGUAUGCUUAACACAUGCAAGUCGAACGGAGUACUUCGGUACUUAGUGGCGGACGGGUGAGUAACGCGUGAGAAUCUGCCUUCAGGAUGGGGAUAACAGUGGGAAACCAUUGCUAAUACCCAAUGAGCCGAGAGGUAAAAAAUUUAUUGCCUGAAGAGGAGCUCGCGUCCGAUUAGUUAGUUGGUGGGGUAAAGGCUUACCAAGACGGCGAUCGGUAGCUGGUCUGAGAGGAUGAGCAGCCACACUGGGACUGAGACACGGCCCAGACUCCUACGGGAGGCAGCAGUGGGGAAUUUUCCGCAAUGGGCGCAAGCCUGACGGAGCAAUACCGCGUGAGGGAGGAAGGCCUUUGGGUUGUAAACCUCUUUUCUUAAGGAAGAAGAUCUGACGGUACUUAAGGAAUCAGCAUCGGCUAACUCCGUGCCAGCAGCCGCGGUAAUACGGAGGAUGCAAGCGUUAUCCGGAAUUAUUGGGCGUAAAGCGUCCGCAGGCGGCACUAUAAGUCUGCUGUCAAAGACCGCAGCUCAACUGCGGAAAGGCAGUGGAAACUGUAGAGCUAGAGUACGGUAGGGGUAGAGGGAAUUCCCAGUGUAGCGGUGAAAUGCGUAGAGAUUGGGAAGAACACCAGUGCCGAAAGCGCUCUACUGGGCCGUAACUGACGCUCAGGGACGAA